This 1564-nucleotide small RNA is filed under the name Pan troglodytes (chimpanzee). RNAcentral's name for it is "retained intron". Lineage: Eukaryota; Metazoa; Chordata; Mammalia; Primates; Hominidae. The record is from RNAcentral.
GGAGAAAUUCUGUUAAAAAGUGAUUUCUAUAAUGUCAGUUUCAGUUAUUUUUAAAUUCAUAAAUUUGUUUCUUCUCUUUCCUGUUAACUAGUCUCUAAUGAAAAACAAUUACAGAAAAUAAAGCUGCAUUAGAAUUGAAAUGAAAUCCAGUUUAACAUCAGAAGCUUUCUGGCCUUUUGGCUUAAAGGAUAAGUCAUUUAAGCCAUGGUGGUUUGGCCAUUGUUGAAGUCUAGGACACAGCCUGUUCCAACCUCAUCAUGAUACCACCACCAGUGGGUGCCAGUUUCCCUGGUUUCACUUAAAAACAUGAUCCUUUCCAGUGAAAAUUCCAGAAUCAUGCAUUUCUUUACCUAAUAUGUGGUAGUGUUGUAUACUUACCAGCAGAGGGCAGCUUAGUCUUCAGAAAAGAAAUGAACUUGAAAGUUUCAACCCUCUGACAUGUGGGUUCAGCUUAUUUUUUUCUUUGUUCAGUAUGGAGACUCUCUUACUUCUGCUUUUUUUCUUUUCUCUUCUAAUUUUUCGCUUCAGAAUUCUGGUUUCUCAAUGCAUAAACUGAAGUAAUUUCUUCCAUUCUACUUUUCUCUGCCCCAGGCUUGAGAUAGAACUAGGGAGCCCAGUGAGGCCUUUUCUUUCCUAAAUUAACAGUUAGGCAUCUGUGCAUAAAUGCUACCUUUGAACUAUGUGAUUUAAGAUAAUGUGCAGAAUGUACUUCUCUGGUCUUUCAGGUUGCUUGCAUAACUAUGUACUUGGUUGAACUUGUAAUUCUUGCUGACAACAGUCCUGCUGUUUUCCAGUAAGGUUCGUGAUCCUCGGGCCAAUUUUGAUCAGUCCCUACGUGUACUGAAACAUGCCAAGAAGGUUCAGCCUGAUGUUAUUUCUAAAACAUCUAUAAUGUUGGGUUUAGGCGAGAAUGAUGAGCAAGUAUAUGCAACAAUGAAAGCACUUCGUGAGGCAGAUGUAGACUGCUUGACUUUAGGACAAUAUAUGCAGCCAACAAGGCGUCACCUUAAGGUUGAAGAAUAUAUUACUCCUGAAAAAUUCAAAUACUGGGAAAAAGUAGGAAAUGAACUUGGAUUUCAUUAUACUGCAAGUGGCCCUUUGGUGCGUUCUUCAUAUAAAGCAGGUAAGUUAGAUUGUGGGGCAUGGUUUCAUUUAGGCCAUUAACUUUCCACAUUAAGUUCUACCACCAGUCACUAAAACUCUUGACAAAUUCUAAUACCUUUGGUGGUCUUGGUAGAGGGCGUAGUUUUUUUUCUGGAACAUCCUUAGGAGCUUUGCUCCAUGGGGAUCAUAUUAAGAAAAGUUUCUCUUAAUCUUUUGUUUCUUAAACAAAUUCAGCCCCCUGCUUUGUAACUCAGCUACUAUAGUAAAAGCAGAAACAAUUAGUUUAUUAAUUUUUUCUAUGUGUAGAUUUCAGUAGUAGGUUAUUCAGAAAUGACAGAGCAUGUCAAGCAUCUAAUAGGGUUUUCUGAGAAAUACAUAUUUAUUUGGAAAUGAUGCCAGCUGCAUCUCCAGACUCAGUUUCAAUCAGUUUAAGCACUGAAAAGUAUCUAUUUGAUAGCAU